AUGAGCGCAACGGAGAAGAGCACGGAGGGGGAGGGGGAGGGGGAGGGGUCCCAGCGCGUGGAGGCGUUCCUCGACAUCCUCGGCCGCGUCCCGAUGGGGGAGGUGGAGGGGGCGCUGACCUCCUGCGGCGUCGGCCCGACGGCGGAGGCCGCGGAGCAGGUGCUCAAGUCCGAAACCUGCUACUCCCGCCCCAAAUCGGCCGUCCGCUUCUUCCGCUGGGCGAAGGCGUCCGUGCAGCUCACCCCCUUGGCCUGGAACCUCCUCGUCGACAUCCUCGGUAAGGCCGCCAUGUUCGAUCCCAUGUGGGACGCCGUCCUCUCCAUGAGCCAGGAGGGCGGCCUCCUCUCCGUCGCCACAUUCGCCUCCAUGUUCGCCUCCUACUGCGCGCGCGGCAACUUCAAGGAAGCCGCCAUGGCCUUCGACGUCAUGGAGCGCCACGGCGUGACGCCGGACGCCGUUGCCCUCAACUCCCUCCUCGCCGCCAUGUGCCGCCGGGAUGGCGGCGGGCAGGCCGCGUGGGAGCUUUUCGAACGCUACAAGACCACGGUCGCGCCCGACGCCGACACCUUCGCGAUACUGCUCGAGGCGUGGGAGAAGGAGGGGAACGUCCAGCGCGCCAAGAGCACCUUCGGCGAGAUGGUCGUCCGCGUCGGGUGGGACGCCAGCAACAUGCCUGCCUACGAUGCUUUCCUCUCCACGCUCGUGCGAGGGGACCAGUUCAACGAGGCACUCAAGUUCCUCCAGGUGAUGCGGACCAAGGGCUGCCUCCCGGGGCUCAAGUUCUUUGCCAACGCGAUCGACCUUGUCGUCCGCAAGGGAGACCAUGCCAAUGCUAUUGCUAUCUGGCAAAUUAUGGUCUCGGAUGCAGGACUGGUUCCCAAUCUCCCAAUGUACAACGCCGUAAUUGGCCUCUGCUCUAGUGUCGGUAACACCGACUACGCCUUCCAGAUGCUCGAUGAAAUGCCCUUAAAUGGGGUCUUUGCAGAUUCUGAUACAUAUAAUUCCAUACUUGAGGGGCUCAUCAAGCAGCGCAAGGCUCGUGAGACUGAAGGUUUCCUCGCGGAGAUGAGCAAGAACGAGCAGCUGCCCUCCGCCUCCAACUGUGCUGCUGCUAUCAGCUUAUUUUGUCAGGAGUUUAACCCAUCUGCCGCAGUUGACGUUUGGCACUGCAUCGUGGAGCACCAAAUUACUCCGGCUGAGGAAUCAGCCAAAGAGUUAAUAGCUGGGCUUCUCGACUUUAGCAGGUUCGCCGAGGUGAAGAAAUAUACCGAUCAGAUGCUUGACAUGGGAAUUGAGUUGCCCCAGUCCACCAUUGAAAAAAUGAAGCGAGCAUUUUACAAGGCUGAGAGGCACCACACAUAUGACCAACUUGCACGAAGGUUGAAGCGGCGGUAA
This 1395-nucleotide ribosomal RNA is filed under the name Triticum aestivum (bread wheat). Its description in RNAcentral is "partial small subunit ribosomal RNA". Lineage: Eukaryota; Viridiplantae; Streptophyta; Magnoliopsida; Poales; Poaceae. The record is from RNAcentral.